GAUGAACGCUGGCGGCGUGCCUAAUACAUGCAAGUCGAGCGAACGGACGAGAAGCUUGCUUCUCUGAUGUUAGCGGCGGACGGGUGAGUGACACGUGGAUAACCUACCUAUAAGACUGGGAUAACUUCGGGAAACCGGAGCUAAUACCGGAUGAUAUUUUGAACCGCAUGGUUCAAAAGUGAAAGACGGUCUUGCUGUCACUUAUAGAUGGAUCCGCGCUGCAUUAGCUAGUUGGUAAGGUAACGGCUUACCAAGGCAACGAUGCAUAGCCGACCUGAGAGGGUGAUCGGCCACACUGGAACUGAGACACGGUCCAGACUCCUACGGGAGGCAGCAGUAGGGAAUCUUCCGCAAUGGGCGAAAGCCUGACGGAGCAAUGCCGCGUGAGUGAUGAAGGUCUUCGGAUCGUAAAACUCUGUUAUUAGGGAAGAACAUAUGUGUAAGUAACUGUGCACAUCUUGACGGUACCUAAUCAGAAAGCCACGGCUAACUACGUG
Molecule: ribosomal RNA, 497 nt
Filed under: uncultured bacterium
Lineage: Bacteria
Description: partial 16S ribosomal RNA
Rfam family: Bacterial small subunit ribosomal RNA
Source: RNAcentral